CUCUCUCUCUCUCUCUCUCUCUCUCUCUCUCUCUCCUGCUAUGAUGCCCCGGAACUACUCAUCUGAUCUAAUGUCAUUGCAGGUUAAUCGGCUUUGUAGAGAGAGAUGUCCAUGGUUCCAUACUUGACGGGGUGGCCCUCCACAAGCUAGAACCUGAAGAACCUGCACGUUAGCACCAUCGUCUUCACAUGCAGGUACGCUGAAACUUUGCCCAGGCGGAUUUGCGGCCCCUCCUUGCACAGCGACCCAUGGCGUUGCGCACCGUCGCCGCCGAUCCACUGCUCUGGCCGGAAUCUAGCGGAGACGGGCCCUCAGCUGUACUCCACCCGCCCCAUGGAGCAGGGAACCUACAUCACCAUCCACUGGCGCGCAUCUCCUUUCCUUCGAUGGUGCCGAUGACCUCGCCCAUGAACCGAUAUCUCUUACCUUAAUCGCCAAGUAUCUCUCAAAUUGGCUGUUUAUUUUGCAUCCUGCAUGUAUAUUUUCGCUCAUAGUAGUGCCAUUAUGUAUGUAGUAGCUUCCUCACGCCAUCUGAUUGAUAUUGAGAUGUACAAAUUCAUCCAAGGCUCCAUUCAUAAAUCAUAACUCUACCCUACUAUUUUACUAAUUUAUUGUGAGGUUAUCCUUCAUGGUUUGCACAUUGUUAUUUCUUAGGCACAUAGACGCAUGAAUGUCCUUAUUAAUAAAUAUUUUUGUUCCAGCGAUUCCCUACUGAAGAAAGAACGCGCAAACAUUGCCAUGCAAAGGACUAUUUGUUAGAUAAUGAUUCCUCGCGUAUUCAUUUUCUUCCUGUCUUGGGAGAUAAUUUUCCAGAUUCUACCUUUACAGAUGGCCUUUAUCACUUUUCAGGUAAAACAAUGAAUUAUCUUUGUUUGUUCUAGGAGAUAUAUACCACCGUUGGGAACCAAGGAAAGAAAGGCUCCUUCUUCCAUCUUCGUCAUUUGCAAUAUCAAUUGGAUCUCUCCGUUGUGAAGUGCUAUCUUCGCUAUCUACACUCACAAUGUUACUGAUUUGUGUCCAAUCACGACGACACCUUAGCACCAGUAAGGUGCAUGCGCAUAUUUUGAGGGGCGCCCCCUAACAACCAUGUCACCGCAGUUCGAUGGAAGGUCAAGAUGGCUAGGCAGCAGUCGCCAGACCACUACCGUGUUAGCAGUCCCGAGUCGCGACGGUCACCGAGUGUACGCGGAUAUGGUGGAAAGCGGGCGCACGCAUCUGGCAAACUUCAAGCACCGGUCACACAAUGGGAGGAAUGUGUUUGUGACAAGUGAGCUGUGAAUGGCUAGGGUCGAGGAUGGCCAGAGAAAGAGGGAGGGGUAGAGACAAAGAGUAUGUGUGUGUGGUGGGCACACCCCACCGUCGUUGCCUCCUAUGGACCGACCUUCUCUAGCGACAACGGUAGGGUUUGGUGGCCGUGCAGGAACUUUUUUAGGAGGCAAUGGUGCCUUCGCAGUUGCCCAAGAGCGAUUCGAGAGGCGGCUAUAGUUUUCUCUAAGUUGUGCAAAUUCGACAACGAUUCAGUUUCAAAGAAUUCAAUGCAAUUGUAUAUUCUAUCUAACACCUCAUGAAUACAUAACCAACACUUGUUCCUAGCAGAUGGAUAUAGAUUUUUAGUUUGAAAACAAUAACAAUAUAAAGUGAAAGCUGGACAAUGCCACAACUAGUAUAUAGUAGAAUGUAAAAUCGCGAACUGGCCGUAGCUCAAGUGAUUACGUUCCUUGUUCAAGUGCUAAGCUUAGCAUCAUGCUCGUAUUUUUCUAGAUAUAUUUUAAACUUUUCGACGAUGUUCGUUAAAUGAAAAGAGACGCUCCCAUCAAGUACAAAGGUGUCUACAACGACUUCAUCAUCUUAAG
Non-coding RNA from Triticum urartu, 1853 nucleotides. The record is from RefSeq and is a predicted model, not a curated record. Lineage: Eukaryota; Viridiplantae; Streptophyta; Magnoliopsida; Poales; Poaceae.